RNAcentral lists this ribosomal RNA (433 nucleotides) under uncultured bacterium. RNAcentral's name for it is "partial 16S ribosomal RNA". It matches the Rfam family "Bacterial small subunit ribosomal RNA", at positions 29 to 507 of the family's 1533-position model. The record is from RNAcentral.
AACGAACGCUGGCGGCAUGCCUAACACAUGCAAGUCGAACGAGACCUUCGGGUCUAGUGGCGCACGGGUGCGUAACGCGUGGGAACCUGCCCUUAGGUUCGGAAUAACUCCCCGAAAGGGGUGCUAAUACCGGAUAAUGUCUUCGGACCAAAGAUUUAUCGCCUUUGGAUGGGCCCGAGUUGGAUUAGCUAGUUGGUAGGGUAAAAGCCUACCAAGGCGACGAUCCAUAGCUGGUCUGAGAGGAUGAUUAGCCACACUGGGACUGGGACACGGCCCAGACUCCUACGGGAGGCAGCAGUGGGGAAUAUUGGACAAUGGGCGAAAGCCUGAUCCAGCAAUGCCGCGUGAGUGAUGAAGGCCUUAGGGUUGUAAAGCUCUUUUACCCGGGAUGAUAAUGACAGUACCGGGAGAAUAAGCUCCGGCUAACUCCGUG